Cercocebus atys (sooty mangabey) is the source of this 4004-nucleotide RNA transcript. It is a transcript of the gene named heterogeneous nuclear ribonucleoprotein R pseudogene, with no coding region annotated. NCBI's taxonomy places the organism in Eukaryota, Metazoa, Chordata, Mammalia, Primates, Cercopithecidae. The record is from RefSeq and is a predicted model, not a curated record. The transcript has a single exon.
GUAAUUUUCAAAGUGCCUUGUGCUGAUUCUCACGGGCCUAGACAUCUGCCCCAGCUCUGCCCUGGAUUGAUAGCUUGUAUCGAUCUUGAUGAAAGAGCAAUUGAUGCUCUCAGGGAAUUUAAUGAAGGAGCUCUGUCUGUACUACAGCAGUUCAAGGAAAGUGACUUAUCACAUGUUUAGAACAAAAGUGCAUUUUUAUGUGGAGUUAUGAAGACCUAUAGGCAGAGAGAGAAACAGGGGAGCUAGGUGCAAGAGUCCACAAAGGGACCUGAUGAAGCAAAGAUCAAGGCCUUGCUUGAGAGAACUGGUUAUACUCUGAACGUAACCACAGGACACAGGAAGUAUGGUGGGCUUCCAUCAAACAGUGUGUACUCUGGCAUGCAACCUGGAAUUGGAACAAAGGUAUUUAUAGGUAAAAUACCAAGAGAUUUAUAUGAGGAUGAGUUGGUGCCCCUUUUUGAGAAGGCCAGUCCCAUUUGGGAUCUAUGUCUUAUGAUAGAUCCACUGUCUGGUCAGAAUAGAGGGUAUGCAUUUAUCACUUUCUGUGGAAAGGAAGCUGCACAGGAAGCUGUGAAACUGUGACAGCUAUGAAAUUCGCCCUUUGGUAAACAACAUGGAGUGCGCAUUUCUGUGGCAAACAACAGACUUUUUGUUGGAUCCAUUCUGAAGAAUAACACUAAAGAAAAUAUUCUGGAAGAAUUCAGUAAAGUCACAGAGGGUUCGGUGGACGUUAUUCUCUAUCAUCAACCUGAUGACAAAAAGAAGAAAUGGGAGUUCUGCUUCCUGGAAUAUGAGGAUCACAAGCCAGAUGCUGGCUGAUGAGUGGAAAAGUAAAAGUAUGGGGAAAUGCAGUUACAGCUGAAUGGACUGACCCUGUGAAGAACCAGAUCCAGAAGUCAUAGCUAAGGUAAAAGUAUUGUUUGUGAGAAAUUUGGGCACAGACGAAAUAUUGGAAAAGUCAUUUUCUGAAUUUGGAGAACUUCAAAGAGUAAAUAAGUUGAAAGAUUAUGCAUUUGUUCAUUCUGAAGACAGAGGAGCAGUCGUUAAGGCUAUGGAUGAAAUGAAUGGCAAAGAAAUAGAAGGGGAAGAACUUGAAAUAGUCUUAGCCAAGCCACCAGACAAGAAAAGGAAAGAGCACCAAGCUGCUAGACAGGCCUCCAUAAGCACUGCAUAUGAAGAUUAUCACUACAUCCUCCUCCUCGCAUGCUGCCUCCGAUUAGAGGUUGGGGGAGAGGUGGAUAUGGCUACCCUCCAGAUCACUAUGGCAGGAAGAUUACUAUGGUUAUUAUUAUCACAACUAUCAUGGAGGUUAUGAAAACUCCCUACUACGGCUAUGAUGAUGGCUAUGCAGUAACAGAAAGAGGAGGAAGGGGAGGGCAGGGUGCUCCACCACCACCAAGGGGGAGGGGAGCACCACCUCCAAGAGGUAGAGUUGGCUAUUAACAAAGGGGGGCACCUUUGGGACCACCAAGAGGCUCUAGGGGUGGCAGAGGGGGUCCUGCACAACAGCAGAGAGGCCGUGGCUGCGGUUCCCGUGGAUCUCGGGGCAAUCAGGAGGCAAUGUAGGAGGCAAGAGAAGGCAGAUGCUUACAACCAACCUGAUUCCAAGCAUCGUCAGACCAACCAGCAGAACUGGGUCUCUCAACCCAUCGCUCAGCAGCCACUUCAGCAAGGUGGUGACUAUUCUGGUAACUAUGGUUACAAUAAUGACAACCAGGAAUUUUAUCAGGAUACUCAUAGGUAACAGUGGAAGUAGACAAGUAAGUGCUUGAAAAUGAUAAUGGCAAGAUACGACUGGCUCUAGAUCUACAUUCUUCAAAAAAAUUUUUGCUUAACUAUUUCAUCUUUAGCAAUUUGCUGCCAUUUAUAUUGGGCUGAAUACAUCACUAUUGUGUAUAUACUCAAGUACGUUUAUUUUUCCUCUUUUCAUAAAUGCUCUUGGACAUUAUUAGGCUUACAGAGUUCUCUUAUUCUGGGAGUUAUAAUGUUUUUAUCACUUCAGGCUUCAUUUUAGCUUCAAAACAAACUGAGCACACUGUUAAGUCAUGAUUUUGCAGAACCUUUGCUUUUGAAGAGUUUCAUUUUUUUGGAUCUAGGAUAAAUUACGUAGAAGUAUGGAGUAUGCUGUAAAUAAAAAUACAAGCUAGUGCUAUGUCUUAGUAGUUUUAAGAAAUUAAAGCAAACACAUUUAAGUUUUCUUGUACCGAAAAUAACCUAUGAUUGUGUUUUGCAUUUUUAGAAGUAGGUUAACUGUGUUUUUAAAUUGUUGUAACUUCACGCCAUUUUGAAAUCUGCCCUACAAAAUUUGUUUGGCUUAAACAUCAAAAGCCAUGACAAUUUGUUCUUUGAUAUGAUUGUAUUUUCAAUUUCUUGUUCAUGUACGAUUUCAAUAAAACUAAAAAAAUCUAUUCAGAAAAAAAAAGAACCAUAGAUUAAAAGUCAACACAACUCCAUUUUCUUCUAACCACUAUAAGUUACUGCAAAUCAUUGACCUUUGAACAAGUCAUUUAAACUCUCCAUGAAAACACAGCUUCACAAUUCUUAGAGGGCUUUCUAAAAGAUUUAAAAUUGAGUGGGGUAGAAGUGAGGCUGGUGCUUUUAAAACUUUCUAACAGGUAUAAAAAGAAUUAGAAAAAACUAACAGAGUCCUUUGACAGCAAUAACUCCCUUACUAAAGAUCAUUCCUAGUGAUUUUGACUAGUCAAAUCAACUGUGCAUUCUAUGUAUCACUUGUGUUACUGAAGGAAAAUACAAUUCUGUUUUACAGUUGUGACAUAUAUUUUGUGUGUGCGUGUGUGUGUGUCUUUGUGUGUGUAUUUGAUCUCCGCCCCCAGUUUCUGGCACAGAACUUCUAAAAACCCUUUGACGUCCUGAGUGAUGGGGUGGUAAGAGCAUUUUUUGUUAUAAUAGUUGGUCUUAUUCUCAGAUUCCUGGCACAGAGCUUGUAAAACUCUUUGAAUUCCCCUAGUGAUCAUAAGCCCCUUUCAACCACACUUGAGUUUACACUAAUAAGGUAAAUCUUGGAGGAUAGAUGCUGGUCACCAGAGGAACCAACCAUGUGAUCAGAGAUUUGGAACUUUAAGCCCUACCCUAGUACCUCUGUGGAGGGGUGAAGGGCUGGAGGUUGAAUUCAAUCACCAAUGACCCAACAUUUAAUAAAUUGUGCCUACAUAAUGGGAAAUCUCCACAAAAAAUCUUAACAAUGAAGUUCUGAGAGGUUCCUGGUCAGUGAACACAAUGAGAUGCUGUGUGGGUGGAGCACCUGGAGAUGGCAUGGAAGCUCUACCUACCUCCCCAUAACUUGUCCUAUGUGUCUCUUCCAUCCAGCUGUUCCUGAGCUGUAUCCUUCACAAUACAUAAUAAUAAAUAGUGUUCUGGAGUUCUGUGAGCUACUGUAGCAAAUUACCUAAUCUAAGGAAAAGGUUGUGUGGAAUCCCUAAUUCAUAACCAGUUGGUCAAAAGUACAGACGACAAUCUGGGACUCGCAACUGGCCACUGAAAUGGAGGCACUCUCAUGGGACCCAGUAUCUAUGGAAUCUGCACUAAGUCUAGGUAAUAUCAGAACUGAAUUGUAGGACACCCACUUGGUGUCCACAGAGAAUUGGGUGAUUAAUUGGUGUAGGAAAAAACCCACAUGAUUGUUGUCAAAAGUGUAAUUAUAGAACAACAGUACGCUUUCCUUUUACUAAUCAAUAUCAACUAACAUUAACAGGCAUAAUAAAUAUUAGAAGGCAUUCUACUGAAAUAAUAAUUCACAAUUUGAACUCUUAGUGACUGAAUUUAACCCUGACAGACAUGGCUUUAAUUAAUUUCAAAUAUAUACUCUGGUUCCUUUUAAAAUAUAUACCAAAUUUUCAAUUUUUGCAGAAACUAUCCUUUAAAUCAGCCUGGGUGGUGGCUCACGCCUGUAAUCUCAGCACUUUGGGAGGCCAAAGCAGGAUGGCUUCUAUGCAGGCAUUAGAGACCAGCCUAGGUAACACAGGGAGACCUCGUCUCUACAAAUU